GCGUGAGUGAUGAAGGCCUUAGGGUUGUAAAGCUCUUUUACCUGGGAUGAUAAUGACAGUACCAGGAGAAUAAGCCCCGGCUAACUCCGUGCCAGCAGCCGCGGUAAUACGGAGGGGGCUAGCGUUGUUCGGAAAUACUGGGCGUAAAGCGCACGUAGGCGGCUCAGCAAGUCAGGGGUGAAAUCCCGGGGCUCAACCCCGGAACUGCCCUUGAAACUGCUAGGCUAGAAUCUUGGAGAGGCGAGUGGAAUUCCGAGUGUAGAGGUGAAAUUCGU
This 275-nucleotide ribosomal RNA is filed under the name uncultured bacterium. Its description in RNAcentral is "partial 16S ribosomal RNA". It matches the Rfam family "Bacterial small subunit ribosomal RNA", at positions 399 to 691 of the family's 1533-position model. The record is from RNAcentral.